CUACGGGUUGCUCCAGUGGGGAAUAUUGGACAAUGGGCGAAAGCCUGAUCCAGCAAUGCCGCGUGUGUGAAGAAGGCCUGCGGGUUGUAAAGCACUUUCAAUUGGGAAGAAAAGCUUGAGGCUAAUACCCUCGAGUCUUGACGUUACCCUUAGAAGAAGCACCGGCUAACUCCGUGCCAGCAGCCGCGGUAAUACGGAGGGUGCGAGCGUUGAUCGGAAUUACUGGGCGUAAAGCGCACGUAGGCGGUUUGGUAAGUCGGAUGUGAAAGCCCCGGGCUCAACCUGGGAAUUGCAUCUGAUACUGCCUGGCUAGAGUAUGGUAGAGGGAAGUGGAAUUCCGGGUGUAGCGGUGAAAUGCGUAGAUAUCCGGAGGAACAUCAGUGGCGAAGGCGACUUCCUGGACCAAUACUGACGCUGAGGUGCGAAAGCGUGGGGAGCAAACAGGAUUAGAUACCCGAGUAGUC
Molecule: ribosomal RNA, 464 nt
Filed under: uncultured bacterium
Lineage: Bacteria
Description: partial 16S ribosomal RNA
Rfam family: Bacterial small subunit ribosomal RNA
Source: RNAcentral